Molecule: ribosomal RNA, 497 nt
Filed under: uncultured bacterium
Lineage: Bacteria
Description: partial 16S ribosomal RNA
Rfam family: Bacterial small subunit ribosomal RNA
Source: RNAcentral
AGUGAACGCUGGCGGUAGGCCUAACACAUGCAAGUCGAACGGCAGCACAGUAAGAGCUUGCUCUUACGGGUGGCGAGUGGCGGACGGGUGAGGAAUACAUCGGAAUCUUCUUUUUCGUGGGGGAUAACGGAGGGAAACUUACGCUAGUACCGCAUACGAUCUACGGGUGAAAGCAAGGGAUCUUCGCGCUUUUGCCGUUUGUUUUAGCGGAUUCCGGGUUGGAUUAGCUAGUUGGUAAGGUAACGGCCUACCAAGGCGACGAUGCGUAGCUGAUCUGAGAGGAUGAUCAGCCACACUGGAACUGAGACACGGUCCAGACUCCUACGGGAGGCAGCAGUGGGGAAUCUUGGACAAAGGGCGCAAGCCUGAUCCAGCCAUACCGCGUGGGUGAAGAAGGCCUUCGGGUUGUAAAGCCCUUUUGUUGGGAAAGAAAAGCAGCAGGUUAAUACCCCGCUGUUCUGACGGUACCCAAAGAAUAAGCACCGGCUAACUUCGUG